UGGAGAAUCAAGUUCCGCAUCAUUUUUCUCAUUAGGCAUAGAAUUUCAUUGAAGAUUUUUAAGCAGUGGAGUGACACAAUCUGAUUUAAAAUCAUUCUGCUAACAAUGUGGAGGAAAAAAAUGCAAAGGGCAAGAAUGCAAGCAGGAAGACAGGUAGGAGGUCACUGCAAUGAAUCAGAGAAAAGACGAUGGUGCCUCAGACAAAGAAGGUAGCAGCAGGAAUGGUGGGCCAGAGUCUACUCCAGAAUUUCUCAAAGAAUGGUCCAAGAAAACUGGGCAUCAAUAUCACCUGGGAUGCCUGAGAAAG
Leopardus geoffroyi (Geoffroy's cat) is the source of this 307-nucleotide long non-coding RNA. RefSeq lists it as uncharacterized. The record is from RefSeq and is a predicted model, not a curated record. Lineage: Eukaryota; Metazoa; Chordata; Mammalia; Carnivora; Felidae. The transcript has 3 exons.